RNAcentral lists this long non-coding RNA (205 nucleotides) under Nicotiana benthamiana. Its description in RNAcentral is "long non-coding RNA (NBEN_LNC001173)". Lineage: Eukaryota; Viridiplantae; Streptophyta; Magnoliopsida; Solanales; Solanaceae. The record is from RNAcentral.
UAUGUUGCUCUGAAUGCCCAGCUCCCCUAGCUCUAUGUUACGAUCCCCCUCCUCGUUAACUAAGUCUCGAAAGUACGUCUGCCACCUCUGCUUGACUUAAGACUCCCCCAUCAGGACUCUACCAUCCUCGCCGUUGAUGCACCUAACUUGGUCAAGAUCAUGUGCCUUCGUUUCCCUUGCUUUAGCUAACCAGAAUAACUUCCUG